Molecule: long non-coding RNA, 672 nt
Filed under: Mytilus galloprovincialis (Mediterranean mussel)
Lineage: Eukaryota; Metazoa; Mollusca; Bivalvia; Mytilida; Mytilidae
Source: RNAcentral
CAAUAACAUCUCCAUGCCUUGUGUAUCAUGUACUGUAGUAUGACGCUAGAUUAAAACUGAUGAGGAAAGGUAACACACGGCCACCGAAAGCUUUAUCUUUUGUGAAGCCCAGGUGGUUGUGUGGUCUAGCGGGAUGGCUACAGUGCAGGCGAUUAGGUGUCACGAUAUCUCAGUAGCAUUGGUUCGAAUCCCGGCGAGGGAAGAACAAAACAAUUUGCAAAAGCAAAUUUACAGAUCUAACAUUGUUGGGUUGAUGUUUAGACGAGUUGUAUAUACAUAAUGUACACAGCCAUAUAUCACCAUCAUUGCUGGUGAUCCGAUGGAUCACUCUGUUGUAGAGUUGUCACUGACUCAGACGUACUUAUAAAUAUAUAUAUAUAUAUUAAGACACAUGUAUGUAAUUAUUUAAUAAAUUCUGUUGUCCACUAUGCUUGCUGGGCUAUCAGCAACACUAUAUAUAUUGUAUUCAUUUAUGCCUUAUAAUAGAUAUGAAAGUAUAGGGUAUACGUAUAGUUAUUCAAAUGCAAAAGGUUGACAUGAGAUUAUUUCUCUAGUAGUGGUACAAGUAAUUGAGUUCAUAUUGUAUAGUGUAUGUUUAUAUUGAUAGAUAAUUUGUCUUAUUAAAUGGCAGCUCACAAUAUGCAGUUGCUGAUCUCGAGCUAGUCAACAAAC